This 235-nucleotide unclassified non-coding RNA is filed under the name Melitaea cinxia (Glanville fritillary). Its description in RNAcentral is "misc RNA ENSMCXG00005018346.1". The record is from RNAcentral. Lineage: Eukaryota; Metazoa; Arthropoda; Insecta; Lepidoptera; Nymphalidae.
UAAACAAAAUAACGCGUCAGACAUAAUAUUCUAAUAAAAUUAGUAACAUUGCGUGCUAGAAUAUAGGUUUAGAAAUUCGAAAAAUACCCAAAACCGAAUCGGAGCACCCCACUGUCCACGUGGUCUUGGUCUGUCCUACCCCUAGAGUGUUUUUUUUGUGCCGCGGAGGCGCGGAGGGAGGGCACCUUCGCUGCGGAACGGAGCAUGAGUGAGCGUGCUUUCGCACGCAAGGGCG